AUGGCGCGAAGACUUUCGCCGGUUGAGGCAGCGGAGGGCACCGGUUCAAGCUCUGGGAUGUCCGGUUGCCGCAAAACGGGGCGCCCGUUUCAGCUGCCACCAUCUGGCUCCAGCACCGGCGGCCCCCGCGGGUUGCAGCAAAACAGGGCGCCCGUUCCAGCUCGCCACCAUCUGUCUCCAGCACCGGCGGCCCCCGCGGGUUGCAGCAAAACGGGGCGCCCGUUUCAACUCGCCACCAUCUGGCUCCAGCAUCAGCGGCCCCGCGGGUUGCAGCUCCGCUUGCUCGAUGCAGCUCCCCCACCAGUGGUUGAAGCUCCAGUAGCAGCUGGUUGUAGCUUGCCCAUCAGUGCGGCGCCGUCAGAUGCGAGAAGGAGUAGCAGUGCAGCAGCUUGA
This 393-nucleotide ribosomal RNA is filed under the name Triticum aestivum (bread wheat). RNAcentral's name for it is "partial small subunit ribosomal RNA". Lineage: Eukaryota; Viridiplantae; Streptophyta; Magnoliopsida; Poales; Poaceae. The record is from RNAcentral.